This 497-nucleotide ribosomal RNA is filed under the name uncultured bacterium. RNAcentral describes it as "partial 16S ribosomal RNA". It matches the Rfam family "Bacterial small subunit ribosomal RNA", at positions 28 to 507 of the family's 1533-position model. The record is from RNAcentral.
GAUGAACGCUGGCGGCGUGCCUAAUACAUGCAAGUCGAGCGAACGGACGAGAAGCUUGCUUCUCUGAUGUUAGCGGCGGACGGGUGAGUAACACGUGGAUAACCUACCUAUAAGACUGGGAUAACUUCGGGAAACCGUAGCUAAUACCGGAUAAUAUUUUGAACCGCAUGGUUCAAAAGUGAAAGACGGUCUUGCUGUCACUUAUAGAUGGAUCCGCGCUGCAUUAGCUAGUUGGUAAGGUAACGGCUUACCAAGGCAACGAUGCAUAGCCGACAUGAGAGGGUGAUCGGCCACACUGGAACUGAGACGCGGUCCAGACUCCGACGGGAGGCAGCAGUAGGGAAUCUUCCGCAAUAGGCGAAAGCCGGACGGAGCAACGCCGCGUGAGUGAUGAAGGUCUUCGGAUCGUAAAACUCUGUUAUUAGGGAAGAACAUAUGCGUAAGUAACUGUGCACAUCUUGACGGUACCUAAUCAGAAAGCCACGGCUAACUACGUG